This 85-nucleotide transfer RNA is filed under the name Sulfuracidifex metallicus. Its description in RNAcentral is "tRNA-Leu". It matches the Rfam family "tRNA". Rfam says of the family: Transfer RNA (tRNA) molecules are approximately 80 nucleotides in length. Their secondary structure includes four short double-helical elements and three loops (D, anti-codon, and T loops). Lineage: Archaea; Thermoproteati; Thermoproteota; Thermoprotei; Sulfolobales; Sulfolobaceae. The record is from RNAcentral. RNAcentral also lists the same sequence under 1 other name.
GCGGGGGUUCCCGAGUCUGGUCAAAGGGGGCGGACUUAAGAUCCGCUGGCGAAGGCCUGCGUGGGUCCAAAUCCCACCCCCCGCA